CGGUGAAUACGUUCCCGGGUCUUGUACACACCGCCCGUCAAGCCAUGGAAGCUGGGUGUACCUAAAGUCGAUAACCGUAAGGAGUCGCCUAGGGUAAAACUAGUAACUGGGGCU
RNAcentral lists this ribosomal RNA (114 nucleotides) under uncultured bacterium. RNAcentral describes it as "partial 16S ribosomal RNA". It matches the Rfam family "Bacterial small subunit ribosomal RNA", at positions 1360 to 1482 of the family's 1533-position model. The record is from RNAcentral.